CGGCUUACCAACCCGAUGCAAACUGCGAAUACCGGAGAAUGUUAUCACGGGAGACACACGGCGGGUGCUAACGUCCGUCGUGAAGAGGGAAACAACCCAGACCGCCAGCUAAGGUCCCAAAGUCAUGGUUAAGUGGGAAACGAUGUGGGAAGGCCCAGACAGCCAGGAUGUUGGCUUAGAAGCAGCCAUCAUUUAAAGAAAGCGUAAUAGCUCACUGGUCGAGUCGGCCUGCGCGGAAGAUGUAACGGGGCUAAACCAUGCACCGAAGCUGCGGCAGCGACACUCAGGUGUUGUUGGGUAGGGGAGCGUUCUGUAAGCCUGCGAAGGUGGCCUGUGAGGGUUGCUGGAGGUAUCAGAAGUGCGAAUGCUGACAUAAGUAACGAUAAAGCGGGUGAAAAGCCCGCUCGCCGGAAGACCAAGGGUUCCUGUCCAACGUUAAUCGGGGCAGGGUGAGUCGACCCCUAAGGCGAGGCCGAAAGGCGUAGUCGAUGGGAAACGGGUUAAUAUUCCCGUACUUGGUGUUACUGCGAAGGGGGGACGGAGAAGGCUAUGUUGGCCGGGCGACGGUUGUCCCGGUUUAAGCGUGUAGGUGUGUGUUCCAGGUAAAUCCGGUUCACUUUAACACUGAGGCGUGAUGACGAGGCACUACGGUGCUGAAGCAACAAAUGCCCUGCUUCCAGGAAAAGCCUCUAAGCAUCAGGUAACAUCAAAUCGUACCCCAAACCGACACAGGUGGUCAGGUAGAGAAUACCAAGGCGCUUGAGAGAACUCGGGUGAAGGAACUAGGCAAAAUGGUGCCGUAACUUCGGGAGAAGGCACGCUGACACGUAGGUGAAGUGAUUUACUCAUGGAGCUGAAGUCAGUCGAAGAUACCAGCUGGCUGCAACUGUUUAUUAAAAACACAGCACUGUGCAAACACGAAAGUGGACGUAUACGGUGUGACGCCUGCCCGGUGCCGGAAGGUUAAUUGAUGGGGUCAGCGCAAGCGAAGCUCCUGAUCGAAGCCCCGGUAAACGGCGGCCGUAACUAUAACGGUCCUAAGGUAGCGAAAUUCCUUGUCGGGUAAGUUCCGACCUGCACGAAUGGCGUAAUGAUGGCCAGGCUGUCUCCACCCGAGACUCAGUGAAAUUGAACUCGCUGUGAAGAUGCAGUGUACCCGCGGCAAGACGGAAAGACCCCGUGAACCUUUACUAUAGCUUGACACUGAACAUUGAGCCUUGAUGUGUAGGAUAGGUGGGAGGCUUUGAAGUGUGGACGCCAGUCUGCAUGGAGCCGACCUUGAAAUACCACCCUUUAAUGUUUGAUGUUCUAACGUGGACCCGUAAUCCGGGUUGCGGACAGUGUCUGGUGGGUAGUUUGACUGGGGCGGUCUCCUCCUAAAGAGUAACGGAGGAGCACGAAGGUUGGCUAAUCCUGGUCGGACAUCAGGAGGUUAGUGCAAUGGCAUAAGCCAGCUUGACUGCGAGCGUGACGGCGCGAGCAGGUGCGAAAGCAGGUCAUAGUGAUCCGGUGGUUCUGAAUGGAAGGGCCAUCGCUCAACGGAUAAAAGGUACUCCGGGGAUAACAGGCUGAUACCGCCCAAGAGUUCAUAUCGACGGCGGUGUUUGGCACCUCGAUGUCGGCUCAUCACAUCCUGGGGCUGAAGUAGGUCCCAAGGGUAUGGCUGUUCGCCAUUUAAAGUGGUACGCGAGCUGGGUUUAGAACGUCGUGAGACAGUUCGGUCCCUAUCUGCCGUGGGCGCUGGAGAACUGAGGGGGGCUGCUCCUAGUACGAGAGGACCGGAGUGGACGCAUCACUGGUGUUCGGGUUGUCAUGCCAAUGGCACUGCCCGGUAGCUAAAUGCGGAAGAGAUAAGUGCUGAAAGCAUCUAAGCACGAAACUUGCCCCGAGAUGAGUUCUCCCUGAGACUUAGAGUCUCCUGAAGGAACGUUGAAGACGACGACGUUGA
Molecule: ribosomal RNA, 1948 nt
Filed under: Salmonella enterica subsp. enterica serovar Agona
Lineage: Bacteria; Pseudomonadati; Pseudomonadota; Gammaproteobacteria; Enterobacterales; Enterobacteriaceae
Description: partial 23S ribosomal RNA
Rfam family: Bacterial large subunit ribosomal RNA
Source: RNAcentral